ACCAUUCAUUAAGUUGGGGACGUCUAGCGAGACUGCCAAGUGAUAAACUGGAGGAAGGUGGGGGAUGACGUCAAAUCAUCAUGCCCCUUAUGACCUGGGCUACAAACGUGAUACAAUGGCUGGAACAAAGGGAUGCGAAGCAGUGAUGUGGAGCGAAACCCAUAAAAACAGUCUCAGUUCGGAUUGAAGUCUGCAACUCGACUUCAUGAAGUCGGAAUCGCUAGUAAUCGCGGAUCAGAACGCCGCGGUGAAUACGGUUCUCGGGGUUU
RNAcentral lists this ribosomal RNA (269 nucleotides) under uncultured Acholeplasma sp. Its description in RNAcentral is "partial 16S ribosomal RNA". It matches the Rfam family "Bacterial small subunit ribosomal RNA", at positions 1117 to 1382 of the family's 1533-position model. Lineage: Bacteria; Bacillati; Mycoplasmatota; Mollicutes; Acholeplasmatales; Acholeplasmataceae. The record is from RNAcentral.